RNAcentral lists this non-coding RNA (1056 nucleotides) under Calameuta idolon. The record is from RNAcentral. Lineage: Eukaryota; Metazoa; Arthropoda; Insecta; Hymenoptera; Cephidae.
AUAAGAUAAAAUAAUAUUAUUUUAAAUAAUAAUUUUGUUAAUUAGUAUAAUUUUAAAUAAUUUUAAUUUAUAUAUAAUUACUUAAAUUAAUUUUUAUAUUUAAUAGAUUAAAUUUAAUUAAGUUAAUUAGUUUUUUGUAUUUUUAUAUAAAGUUUAAUUCUGACUUAAUAAUUUAUUAUAAGUUUUAUUUAAUAUAUAAAUAUUUAUGUUAUUAAUUUAAUUUUUUAAAUAAAAAUAGAUUUUUAAUUAUUUAGUAUAUAAAAUUAUGUAUAAAUAAAAAUAAGUUUUUUUAUAGAAUUAUAUUUAUUUAAGAUUGAAUAAAUUUGUGCCAGCAUUCGCGGUUAGACAAACUAAUUUGAGUAAAUUAAUUAAAUUUUAAAGGUAUUAUAAUUAUUUAUUUAUUUUUAAUAAAAUAAAUUAAAUUAAGGUGAAAUUUUAUUAAUUUUUUUAUUAAUUUAUUAAUAAAUUUAAAAUAUUCUUUGAAAAUUUUAAAUUAAACUAGGAUUAGAUAUAAUAGGGUAUCUAAUCCUAGUUUAUAGGAUUAGAUACCCUAUUAUUUUAAAUUGUAAAUUUAUUUAAAUUUUUUUUAUUUAUUUUUAUUUUUAUUUUAUUUUGUUUWAAAUUAGGUAGUAUUAGUUAUGAUCUUGAAACUUUAAGAAUUUGACGGUAAUUCAUUCACUUUAGAGGAACUUGUUUUUUAAUUGAUAAUCCACGAUAAAAUUUACCUAAUUUAUUUUGUUUGUAUAUCGUCGUUUAAAAAAAAUUUUUAAAGAAUUUUUAAUUUUUUUAAUAUAAUAUAUGUUGUGUAUAAUUAUAUAAAUUCAGAUCAAGGUGCAGCUAUUUAUUUAGGUUAAAAUGAGUUACAAUAAAUUUUAUUUAUUACGGAUCCUGAAUUUUAUUUUUAGGUUAAGGUGGAUUUAAAAGUAAAUUUAAAUAAUUAUUUAAGUUGAGAAUUGUUUUGAAUUAUGUACAUAUCGCCCGUCGCUCUCGUUAUAAGAUGAGAUAAGUCGUAACAAAGUAAAAGUACUGGAAAGUGUUUUUAGAAUUAAAAUUUUU